This 494-nucleotide ribosomal RNA is filed under the name uncultured bacterium. Its description in RNAcentral is "partial 16S ribosomal RNA". It matches the Rfam family "Bacterial small subunit ribosomal RNA", at positions 28 to 507 of the family's 1533-position model. The record is from RNAcentral.
GACGAACGCUGGCGGCGUGCUUAACACAUGCAAGUCGAACGGUGAAGCGCCUUCCUUUUUGGUGGGUGUGGAUGGGUGGCGAACGGGUGAGUAACACGUGAGUAACCUGCCCCCUUCUUCUGGAUAACCGCAUGAAAGUGUGGCUAAUGCGGGAUAUUCUGGGUCUGUCGCAUGAUGGGUCUGGGAAAGAUAUUGUUUCGGUGGGGGAUGGGCUCGCGGCCUAUCAGCUUGUUGGUGGGGUGAUGGCCUACCAAGGCGGUGACGGGUAGCCGGCCUGAGAGGGUGGACGGUCACACUGGGACUGAGACACGGCCCAGACUCCUACGGGAGGCAGCAGUGGGGAAUAUUGCACAAUGGGCGCAAGCCUGAUGCAGCGACGCCGCGUGAGGGAUGGAGGCCUUCGGGUUGUGAACCUCUUUCGCCAGUGAAGCAGGCCUGCCUCGUUUGUGGGUGGGUUGACGGUAGCUGGAUAAGAAGCGCCGGCUAACUACGUG